GACGAACGCUGGCGGCGUGCUUAACACAUGCAAGUCGAACGGAAAGGCCCUGCUUUUGUGGGGUGCUCGAGUGGCGAACGGGUGAGUAACACGUGAGUAACCUGCCCUUGACUUUGGGAUAACUUCAGGAAACUGGGGCUAAUACCGGAUAGGAGCUCCUGCUGCAUGGAGGGGGUUGGAAAGGUUCGGCGGUUGGGGAUGGACUCGCGGCUUAUCAGCUUGUUGGUGGGGUAGUGGCUUACCAAGGCUUUGACGGGUAGCCGGCCUGAGAGGGUGACCGGCGACCUUGGGCCUGCGGGAGGGCCCAGAGUGCUACGGGGGGCAGUGGGGGGAAGCGUGGCGCAACGGGGGGACGCGUGAUGCAGCGGCGUCGCGUGCGGGAUGACGGCCUUCGGGUUGUAAACGGCUUUCGCCUGUGACGAAGCGUGAGUGACGGUAAUGGGUAAAGAAGCACCGGCUAACUACGUG
Molecule: ribosomal RNA, 468 nt
Filed under: uncultured bacterium
Lineage: Bacteria
Description: partial 16S ribosomal RNA
Rfam family: Bacterial small subunit ribosomal RNA
Source: RNAcentral